Molecule: long non-coding RNA, 733 nt
Filed under: Heterocephalus glaber (naked mole-rat)
Lineage: Eukaryota; Metazoa; Chordata; Mammalia; Rodentia; Bathyergidae
Description: lncRNA (ENSHGLG00100046687.1)
Source: RNAcentral
CGGGUGGUGGGAGACGAAGCAGUCCCUCCUUAUCGGGUGGUGCUUUCUGUGGUUUUGGUCACCUGCUGUCACCUGGAGUCCUUAGGGCACAAGGACUCCCAUCAGACUUAACGGGCACCGGAUCUGCCCUCAGACCCCAGGACAAAGCAGGGUAUAGGAAAAACAACAACAACAACAUACAAGGUGUGAUUUCAAAAUACUGCUGUCUCUGGCUGUCACUGAGCCUUAGCCACGGUGUGUGACGUUUCAGUUCAGAUCCAGUGCUGUCACUGGGUCGUGAGCUCCAGUCCAGACCCAGCGGCGCUUUGACCCUGCGGAGCUGCGCCGGGGGAGUCUGCACCAGGAGCGCGGUGGGGAGCCCUGGGUGCCAGGCCGGCUCCUGGAGCAUUUGAGAAAUGAUGUGCGGGGGAAUCGGCUGAGAAAUGGGCCAGCGCUUUCACCCUCCGCCACGACUCUGCUCUGGGCCACACGGGUGCUGGAACAGCAUUUCCUGUCCAGUACAAACUGACGCCCUGUCCCCACGUCCUCAUUCCCCGGAUCCGGCAACGCGUGACUCUGGCUCCUCCCCAGAGCCAAAACGACCAUCAAAGGGAAACAUUUUGAAUUCAUUCAGGACACGGAGGCAGAGGCAGCCAGGACAGUGCAGCUAAAGACACUAAGGAAAGAGGGCUCCAGAGCUGCUGCAGGAAGUGGUGAGGAUGAUGGGAUGAGUUCAAAGUGGGGGAUUCAUGGG